This 322-nucleotide ribosomal RNA is filed under the name uncultured soil bacterium. Its description in RNAcentral is "bacterial SSU rRNA". It matches the Rfam family "Bacterial small subunit ribosomal RNA", at positions 26 to 371 of the family's 1533-position model. The record is from RNAcentral.
AGAACGAACGCUGGCGGCAUGCCUAAUACAUGCAAGUCGAACGAACUCUUCGGAGUUAGUGGCACACGGGUGCGUAACGCGUGGGAAUCUGCCCCUUGGUUCGGAAUAACAGUUGGAAACGACUGCUAAUACCGGAUGAUGACGAAAGUCCAAAGAUUUAUCGCCAAGGGAUGAGCCCGCGUAGGAUUAGCUAGUUGGUGAGGUAAAGGCUCACCAAGGCAACGAUCCUUAGCUGGUCUGAGAGGAUGAUCAGCCACACUGGGACUGAGACACGGCCCAGACUCCGUACGGGAGGCAGCAGGUAAGGGAAUAGUUAGGACAA